GCAGGAGUGGCGGAACUGGUAGACGCGCUGGAUUCAAAAUCCAGUGUUAGCAAUAACGUGGGGGUUCGAGUCCCCCCUCCUGUACCA
This 87-nucleotide transfer RNA is filed under the name Ignavibacteriota bacterium. RNAcentral's name for it is "Ignavibacteriae bacterium (activated sludge metagenome) tRNA-Leu". It matches the Rfam family "tRNA". Rfam says of the family: Transfer RNA (tRNA) molecules are approximately 80 nucleotides in length. Their secondary structure includes four short double-helical elements and three loops (D, anti-codon, and T loops). Further hydrogen bonds mediate the characteristic L-shaped molecular structure. tRNAs have two regions of fundamental functional importance: the anti-codon, which is responsible for specific mRNA codon recognition, and the 3' end, to which the tRNAs corresponding amino acid is attached (by aminoacyl-tRNA synthetases). tRNAs cope with the degeneracy of the genetic code in two manners: having more than one tRNA (with a specific anti-codon) for a particular amino acid; and 'wobble' base-pairing, i.e. permitting non-standard base-pairing at the 3rd anti-codon position. Lineage: Bacteria; Pseudomonadati; Ignavibacteriota. RNAcentral also lists the same sequence under 3 other names. The record is from RNAcentral.